CUAAAAAACUGUCAAAUGGUAACAGCCCUACUUUCUACGCCAGGAAAACCCACUGUUGAGUUAGUUGGCUCUGAUUCCAAUGGUCUCAUCAGCUUUCUGAACGUAGGUACCUCAGCAGUGCCUCUUCCAAGAUAACAAAAUGAACUUUUAGAGAUUAAAAAAAUACAUUUUGGCAAUUGAAACUCACCAGCGCCUUUCUGCUUCUCCAGGAAGUUGUACCCGUCAGCACCUGCUGAGGGCUUUGUUGUCCAAACUCUGACAGGUAAAAAAAUUCCUGUAGAAUAAAGCCAGACCAGCUGGCUUUGAAGAGAAACCCCCCAGUUUGGGCUGCGUUUGUCUCCUCUCCUUUUCUAUGAAGACCCAGGCUUUCCCCCCUUGAUCGUCAAGCCGUAAGAUGCGUGAUCCCUGUGCACAAGUGUCUGGCAGGCCGAGGUGCACCUGUUCCUGUCACUCUGGAGUAAAUUUAGCUGUAAAGGUAUCACUGACAACCAGACCUUUGUCAGAGCUGGCAAAAGAACACAGAACUGCUGCCCUCCCCCACCCCUUCCAAACCCCUUCGCUGCUCGUUCAAAUGGAAAAUGUCAAAUCGGAAGUCUAUCCAAAAAUCAUUCCUGAAAAAAUGAGAUUGCUUUCAUAUGGUAAAAAGGCACCACUUUCAGAUAAAAACAUAGACCUGAAUGGCAUCAUCCAGUAUCCAAGGAAACCAUGUCUAGGUCUCUGCUAG
This 724-nucleotide long non-coding RNA is filed under the name Bos mutus (wild yak). RNAcentral's name for it is "lncRNA (ENSBMUG00000015389.1)". The record is from RNAcentral. Lineage: Eukaryota; Metazoa; Chordata; Mammalia; Artiodactyla; Bovidae.